GAUGAACGCUGGCGGCGUGCCUAAUACAUGCAAGUCGAGCGAACAGACGAUGAGCUUGCUCCUCUGACGUUAGCGGCGGACGGGUGUGUAACACGUGGAUAACCUUCCUAUAAGACUGGUAUAACUUCGGGAAACCAGAGCUAAUACCGUAUAAUCUCUUGCACCGCAUGGUUCAAUAGUGAAAGACGGUUUUGCUGUCACUUAUAGAUGGUUCCGCGCCUUAUUAGCUAGUUGGUAGUGUAACGGCUUACCAAGGCGACGAUGCGUAGCCGACCUGAGAGGGGGAACGGCCACAGUGGAGGUGAGACACGGUACAGAGUCCGAGGGGAGGCAGAGGUAGGGAAUCGUCGGAGAAGGGCGAAAGAUUGACGGAGCAACGCAGGGUGGGUGAUGAAGGUCCUCGGGUCGUAAAACGCUGUUAGGAGGGAAGAACAAAUGUGUAAGUAACGAAGCACGUGUGGAGGGUACCGAAACAGAAAGCCACGGCUAACUACGG
This 496-nucleotide ribosomal RNA is filed under the name uncultured bacterium. Its description in RNAcentral is "partial 16S ribosomal RNA". It matches the Rfam family "Bacterial small subunit ribosomal RNA", at positions 28 to 506 of the family's 1533-position model. The record is from RNAcentral.